This 492-nucleotide ribosomal RNA is filed under the name uncultured bacterium. RNAcentral describes it as "partial 16S ribosomal RNA". It matches the Rfam family "Bacterial small subunit ribosomal RNA", at positions 29 to 507 of the family's 1533-position model. The record is from RNAcentral.
AGUGAACGCUGGCGGUAGGCCUAACACAUGCAAGUCGAACGGCAGCACAGUAAGAGCUUGCUCUUACGGGUGGCGAGUGGCGGACGGGUGAGGAAUACAUCGGAAUCUACUUUUUCGUGGGGGAUAACGUAGGGAAACUUACGCUAAUACCGCAUACGACCUACGGGUGAAAGCAGGGGAUCUUCGGACCUUGCGCGAUUGAAUGAGCCGAUGUCGGAUUAGCUAGUUGGCGGGGUAAAGGCCCACCAAGGCGACGAUCCGUAGCUGGUCUGAGAGGAUGACAGGCACCCUGGGAAAUGGAACCGGGCCCAGCCUCCUAGGGGAGGCAGCAGGGGGGAAUAUGGGACAAGGGGCGAAAGCCUGACCCAGCAAUGCCGCGUGGGUGAAGAAGGCCUUCGGGUUGUAAAGCCGUUUUUUUGGGAAAGAAAAGAAGCGGAAUAAUCCCCGCCUGUCUUGACGGUACCAAAAAAAAAAGCCCCGGCUAACUUCGUG